CCAUAGCCCUGAUGGGAACGGCAUCCUUUUUUGGCAAUGUGGGGAAAAGCUACAAUUAAGAUACUUUACGCCAAUCGCAAUGACAAAAAAGAUACAGUGGACAGCAGGUUCCCGG
This 115-nucleotide small RNA is filed under the name Epilithonimonas bovis DSM 19482. RNAcentral's name for it is "Chryseobacterium bovis DSM 19482 Flavo-1 RNA". It matches the Rfam family "Flavo-1 RNA". The record is from RNAcentral. Lineage: Bacteria; Pseudomonadati; Bacteroidota; Flavobacteriia; Flavobacteriales; Weeksellaceae.